RNAcentral lists this ribosomal RNA (506 nucleotides) under uncultured bacterium. Its description in RNAcentral is "partial 16S ribosomal RNA". It matches the Rfam family "Bacterial small subunit ribosomal RNA", at positions 28 to 523 of the family's 1533-position model. The record is from RNAcentral.
GAUGAACGCUAGCUACAGGCUUAACACAUGCAAGUCGAGGGGUAACGAGAGGGAAGCUUGCUUUCCUUGUCGACGACCGGCGCACGGGUGAGUAACGCGUAUCCAACCUGCCCCCAACUAGGGAAUAACCUUGCGAAAGUAAGACUAAUACCCUAUAAUUUCCUCAGAUGUCAUCUGACGAGGAAUAAAGAUUUAUCGGUUGUGGAUGGGGAUGCGUCUGAUUAGCUUGUUGGCGGGGUAACGGCCCACCAAGGCAACGAUCAGUAGGGGUUUUGAGAGGAAGGUCCCCCACAUUGGAACUGAGACACGGUCCAAACUCCUACGGGAGGCAGCCGUGAGGAAUAUUGGUCAAUGGGCGGAAGCCUGAACCAGCCAAGUAGCGUGCAGGAUGACGGCCCUAUGGGUUGUAAACUGCUUUUAUAAAGGAAUAAAGUUAGCCACGUGUGGUUAUUUGUAGGUACUGUAUGAAUAAGGACCGGCUAAUUCCGUGCCAGCCGCCGCAGUAA